RNAcentral lists this transfer RNA (74 nucleotides) under Patiria miniata (bat star). RNAcentral's name for it is "tRNA-Val". It matches the Rfam family "tRNA". From Rfam's summary of the family: Transfer RNA (tRNA) molecules are approximately 80 nucleotides in length. Their secondary structure includes four short double-helical elements and three loops (D, anti-codon, and T loops). Further hydrogen bonds mediate the characteristic L-shaped molecular structure. tRNAs have two regions of fundamental functional importance: the anti-codon, which is responsible for specific mRNA codon recognition, and the 3' end, to which the tRNAs corresponding amino acid is attached (by aminoacyl-tRNA synthetases). tRNAs cope with the degeneracy of the genetic code in two manners: having more than one tRNA (with a specific anti-codon) for a particular amino acid; and 'wobble' base-pairing, i.e. permitting non-standard base-pairing at the 3rd anti-codon position. Lineage: Eukaryota; Metazoa; Echinodermata; Asteroidea; Valvatida; Asterinidae. The record is from Rfam by way of RNAcentral.
GGCUGGAUAGCUCAGUUGGUAGAGCACUGGAACGACAAUCUGGAGGUCGCAGGUUCGAAACCCCGCUCCAGUCA